This 489-nucleotide ribosomal RNA is filed under the name uncultured bacterium. Its description in RNAcentral is "bacterial SSU rRNA". It matches the Rfam family "Bacterial small subunit ribosomal RNA", at positions 32 to 498 of the family's 1533-position model. The record is from RNAcentral.
AAUCAACGCUGGCGGCGUGCCUAACACAUGCAAGUCGAACGAGAAAGUGACUUCGGUCACUGGAUAGUGGCGUCCGGGUGAGUAACACGUGGGUAAUCUACCCUCGGGUGGGGAAUAACGUCUCGAAAGAGACGCUAAUACCGCAUAAUGCAGCGGCACCUAAUGGUGAAUAGUUGUUAAAGCGGGGGAUCGCAAGACCUCGCGCCUGAAGAGGAGCCUGCGGCAGAUUAGCUAGUUGGUGAGGUAAUGGCUCACCAAGGCUUCGAUCUGUAGCUGGUCUGAGAGGACGGCCAGCCACACUGGCACUGACACACGGGCCAGACUCCUACGGGAGGCAGCAGUGGGGAAUUUUGGGCAAUGGACGAAAGUCUGACCCAGCAACGCCGCGUGAGGGAGGAAAUCCUUCGGGAUGUAAACCUCGCAAGCAAGGGAGAAUGCUUGAGACCUAACACGUCUCAAGAGGGACGGUACCUUGCGUAAGCCACGGCU